Molecule: ribosomal RNA, 494 nt
Filed under: uncultured bacterium
Lineage: Bacteria
Description: partial 16S ribosomal RNA
Rfam family: Bacterial small subunit ribosomal RNA
Source: RNAcentral
GACGAACGCUGGCGGCGUGCUUAACACAUGCAAGUCGAACGGUGAAGCGCCUUCCUUUUUGGUGGGUGUGGAUGAGUGGCGAACGGGUGAGUAACACGUGAGUAACCUGCCCCCUUCUUCUGGAUAACCGCAUGAAAGUGUGGCUAAUAUGGGAUAUUCUGGGUCUGUCGCAUGAUGGGUCUGGGAAAGAUAUUGUUUCGGUGGGGGAUGGGCUCGCGGCCUAUCAGCUUGUUGGUGGGGUGAUGGCCUACCAAGGCGGUGACGGGUAGCCGGCCUGAGAGGGUGGACGGUCACACUGGGACUGAGACACGGCCCAGACUCCUACGGGAGGCAGCAGUGGGGAAUGUUGCACAAUGGGCGCAAGCCUGAUGCAGCGACGCCGCGUGAGGGAUGGAGGCCUUCGGGUUGUGAACCUCUUUCGCCAGUGAAGCAGGCCUGCCUCGUUUGUGGGUGGGUUGACGGUAGCUGGAUAAGAAGCGCCGGCUAACUACGUG